GUUUGGCACCUCGAUGUCGGCUCAUCACAUCCUGGGGCUGAAGUAGGUCCCAAGGGUAUGGCUGUUCGCCAUUUAAAGUGGUACGCGAGCUGGGUUUAGAACGUCGUGAGACAGUUCGGUCCCUAUCUGCCGUGGGCGCUGGAGAAUUGAGGGGGGCUGCUCCUAGUACGAGAGGACCGGAGUGGACGCAUCACUGGUGUUCGGGUUGUCAUGCCAAUGGCACUGCCCGGUAGCUAAAUGCGGAAGAGAUAAGUGCUGAAAGCAUCUAAGCACGAAACUUGCCCCGAGAUGAG
RNAcentral lists this ribosomal RNA (293 nucleotides) under Escherichia coli. RNAcentral describes it as "partial 23S ribosomal RNA". It matches the Rfam family "Bacterial large subunit ribosomal RNA", at positions 2516 to 2808 of the family's 2925-position model. Lineage: Bacteria; Pseudomonadati; Pseudomonadota; Gammaproteobacteria; Enterobacterales; Enterobacteriaceae. The record is from RNAcentral.